UCAGAUACUUACAUGGAGGCACGUCAAAUCCUGAAGAAGGCUCUGACAUGUAGCACCUCGGACCUCUAAACUGAGGAUGAACAGGAACGACCUGGGAGAAGGAGAACAACAGCGAAACAUUUCUUUGGUGACACUGAUGUAGAGGAGGACUACCGACCCCCAAAGAGGUCCAAAUCCGGGUCAGCUGCUGGGACAAGUCACCAACUCCCUGAAAAUAGUCCAGAGAAUAGUCAAAUGUUUGGCAGAACUGCCCCUCCCCAACAACUACCACCACAAACACCCCUCUCUCAACCUGCACAAUGCAACCAGCAACAAUGGGGGCCAGAGGAGCCAAGCCAGGUCUACAGACCUACCUGGAGAGGUGGGAGACAUGGCCCAGAAAACAUUCCCUGCUCUGCUGCUCAGGUCCACAUUUUAAGCCUGCUGGAGCACAUUAAGCAGCAGCAGGACCAGCUGGUGGCCAAGGUCAAUCACCUGAGCAGCAGGGUGCUCAACACCUCAACACCUCAAGAGCCAGAGUGUCCCGAAUGCAUUCAGCUGCCCAUCGAAUCACUGGAAGCGGUGGAUGGGCUUGAAGCAUUCCUGAAAGACGCUGCCAAUGCAGCAGCCAAACAAAGAAUGGUGCUGUAUGUGCAAAUGGUUUGUGUCGCACAGCCACAGACAUUCAACAUCAUGCCAUAAGAUGGUUUAACUUGGCUGCAGACCGUGGUGCAGCGAGGAGGCGCCUGACCAACCGGUCUAACCAGGCUGAGGCCGAUGAUUAGGC
This is a long non-coding RNA of Xyrauchen texanus (razorback sucker), 766 nucleotides long. RefSeq lists it as uncharacterized. The transcript has 5 exons. Lineage: Eukaryota; Metazoa; Chordata; Actinopteri; Cypriniformes; Catostomidae. The record is from RefSeq and is a predicted model, not a curated record.